This 326-nucleotide unclassified non-coding RNA is filed under the name soil metagenome. RNAcentral's name for it is "partial contains 5.8S ribosomal RNA, internal transcribed spacer 2, and large subunit ribosomal RNA". The stretch from base 1 to 120 matches the Rfam family "5.8S ribosomal RNA", at positions 35 to 154 of the family's 154-position model. The record is from RNAcentral.
GAUGAAGAACGUAGCGAAAUGCGAUAAGUAAUGUGAAUUGCAGAAUUCAGUGAAUCAUCGAAUCUUUGAACGCACAUUGCGCCCCUUGGUAUUCCGAGGGGCAUGCCUGUUCGAGCGUCAUAUUAACCACUCCCGCUUGCGGGGUCUUGGGCUUCGCCUCCGGGCGGGCCUUAAAAUCAGUGGCGGUGCCGUCGGGCUCUACGCGUAGUAAAUUUUCUCGCGAUAGGGUCCCGGUGGAUGUUUGCCAACAACCCCCAACUUCUUAAGGUUGACCUCGGAUCAGGUAGGGAUACCCGCUGAACUUAAGCAUAUCAAUAAGCGGAGGA